This 70-nucleotide transfer RNA is filed under the name Egernia napoleonis. RNAcentral describes it as "tRNA-His". It matches the Rfam family "tRNA". Rfam says of the family: Transfer RNA (tRNA) molecules are approximately 80 nucleotides in length. Their secondary structure includes four short double-helical elements and three loops (D, anti-codon, and T loops). The record is from RNAcentral. Lineage: Eukaryota; Metazoa; Chordata; Lepidosauria; Squamata; Scincidae.
GUCAACAUAGUUUUAAACAAAAACAUUAGGGUGUGGACCUAAAGAUAGAAGCUAAAACCUUCUUGUUGAC